GUGAGAUGGGGCUUAGCUCUGAAGUUUUCAAGAGAUCCCCAUGCGUGCAAGCGAGGCUGGGGUGCCCUCCUGCUGGGGAGGGGACCCCGUGCGUGGAGGUGAGAUGGGGCUUAGCUCUGAAGUUUUCAAGAGAUCCCCAUGCGUGCAGGCAAUGCUGGGGUGCCCUCCUGCUGGGGAGGGGACCCCGUGCGUGGAGGUGAGAUGGGGCUUAGCUCUGAAGUUUUCAAGAGAUCCCCAUGCGUGCAAGCGAGGCUGGGGUGCCCUCCGGCUGGGGAGGGGACCCCGUGCGUGGAGGUGAGAUGGGGCUUAGCUCUGAAGUUUUCAAGAGAUCCCCAUGCGUGCAGGCAAGGCUGGGGUGCCCUCCUGCUGGGGAGGGGACCCCGUGCGUGGAGGUGAGAUGGGGCUUAGCUCUGAAGUUUUCAAGAGAUCCCCAUGCGUGCAAGCGAGGCUGGGGUGCCCUCCUGCUGGGGAGGGGACCCCGUGCGUGGAGGUGAGAUGGGGCUUAGCUCUGAAGUUUUCAAGAGAUCCCCAUGCGUGCAGGCAAUGCUGGGGUGCCCUCCGGCUGGGGAGGGGACCCCGUGCGUGGAGGUGAGAUGGGGCUUAGCUCUGAAGUUUUCAAGAGAUCCCCAUGCGUGCAGGCAAGGCUGGGGUGCCCUCCGGCUGGGGAGGGGACCCCGUGCGUGGAGGUGAGAUGGGGCUUAGCUCUGAAGUUUUCAAGAGAUCCCCAUGCGUGCAAGCGAGGCUGGGGUGCCCUCCUGCUGGGGAGGGGACCCCGUGCGUGGAGGUGAGAUGGGGCUUAGCUCUGAAGUUUUCAAGAGAUCCCCAUGCGUGCAGGCAAUGCUGGGGUGCCCUCCGGCUGGGGAGGGGACCCCGUGCGUGGAGGUGAGAUGGGGCUUAGCUCUGAAGUUUUCAAGAGAUCCCCAUGCGUGCAGGCAAGGCUGGGGUGCCCUCCGGCUGGGGAGGGGACCCCGUGCGUGGAGGUGAGAUGGGGCUUAGCUCUGAAGUUUUCAAGAGAUCCCCAUGCGUGCAAGCGAGGCUGGGGUGCCCUCCUGCUGGGGAGGGGACCCCGUGCGUGGAGGUGAGAUGGGGCUUAGCUCUGAAGUUUUCAAGAGAUCCCCAUGCGUGCAGGCAAUGCUGGGGUGCCCUCCGGCUGGGGAGGGGACCCCGUGCGUGGAGGUGAGAUGGGGCUUAGCUCUGAAGUUUUCAAGAGAUCCCCAUGCGUGCAGGCAAGGCUGGGGUGCCCUCCGGCUGGGGAGGGGACCCCGUGCGUGGAGGUGAGAUGGGGCUUAGCUCUGAAGUUUUCAAGAGAUCCCCAUGCGUGCAGGCAAGGCUGGGGUGCCCUCCUGCUGGGGAGGGGACCCCGUGCGUGGAGGUGAGAUGGGGCUUAGCUCUGAAGUUUUCAAGAGAUCCCCAUGCGUGCAGGAUGGCUGGGGUGCCCUCCGGCUGGGGAGGGGACCCCGUGCGUGGAGGUGAGAUGGGGCUUAGCUCUGAAGUUUUCAAGAGAUCCCCAUGCGUGCAGGCAAGGCUGGGGUGCCCUCCUGCUGGGGAGGGGACCCCGUGCGUGGAGGUGAGAUGGGGCUUAGCUCUGAAGUUUUCAAGAGAUCCCCAUGCGUGCAAGCGAGGCUGGGGUGCCCUCCGGCUGGGGAGGGGACCCCGUGCGUGGAGGUGAGAUGGGGCUUAGCUCUGAAGUUUUCAA
Molecule: long non-coding RNA, 1696 nt
Organism: Lagopus muta (rock ptarmigan)
Lineage: Eukaryota; Metazoa; Chordata; Aves; Galliformes; Phasianidae
Exons: 3
Source: RefSeq, a predicted model, not a curated record